AUUGAACGCUGGCGGCAGGCCUAACACAUGCAAGUCGAGCGGUAGCACAGAGAGCUUGCUCUCGGGUGACGAGCGGCGGACGGGUGAGUAAUGUCUGGGAAACUGCCUGAUGGAGGGGGAUAACUACUGGAAACGGUAGCUAAUACCGCAUAACGUCGCAAGACCAAAGUGGGGGACCUUCGGGCCUCAUGCCAUCAGAUGUGCCCAGAUGGGAUUAGCUAGUAGGUGGGGUAACGGCUCACCUAGGCGACGAUCCCUAGCUGGUCUGAGAGGAUGACCAGCCACACUGGAACCGAGACACGGUCCAGACUCCUACGGGAGGCAGCAGUGGGGAAUAUUGCACAAUGGGCGCAAGCCUGAUGCAGCCAUGCCGCGUGUGUGAAGAAGGCCUUCGGGUUGUAAAGCACUUUCAGCGGGGAAGAAGGCGGUGAGGUUAAUAACCUUGUCGAUUGACGUUACCCGCAGAAGAAGCACCGGCUAACUCCGUGCCAGCAGCCGCGGUAAUACGGAGGGUGCAAGCGUUAAUCGGAAUUACUGGGCGUAAAGCGCACGCAGGCGGUCUGUCAAGUCGGAUGUGAAAUCCCCGGGCUCAACCUGGGAACUGCAUUCGAAACUGGCAGGCUAGAGUCUUGUAGAGGGGGGUAGAAUUCCAGGUGUAGCGGUGAAAUGCGUAGAGAUCUGGAGGAAUACCGGUGGCGAAGGCGGCCCCCUGGACAAAGACUGACGCUCAGGUGCGAAAGCGUGGGGAGCAAACAGGAUUAGAUACCCUGGUAGUCCACGCCGUAAACGAUGUCGAUUUGGAGGUUGUGCCCUUGAGGCGUGGCUUCCGGAGCUAACGCGUUAAAUCGACCGCCUGGGGAGUACGGCCGCAAGGUUAAAACUCAAAUGAAUUGACGGGGGCCCGCACAAGCGGUGGAGCAUGUGGUUUAAUUCGAUGCAACGCGAAGAACCUUACCUGGUCUUGACAUCCACAGAACUUUCCAGAGAUGGAUUGGUGCCUUCGGGAACUGUGAGACAGGUGCUGCAUGGCUGUCGUCAGCUCGUGUUGUGAAAUGUUGGGUUAAGUCCCGCAACGAGCGCAACCCUUAUCCUUUGUUGCCAGCGGUUAGGCCGGGAACUCAAAGGAGACUGCCAGUGAUAAACUGGAGGAAGGUGGGGAUGACGUCAAGUCAUCAUGGCCCUUACGACCAGGGCUACACACGUGCUACAAUGGCAUAUACAAAGAGAAGCGACCUCGCGAGAGCAAGCGGACCUCAUAAAGUAUGUCGUAGUCCGGAUUGGAGUCUGCAACUCGACUCCAUGAAGUCGGAAUCGCUAGUAAUCGUAGAUCAGAAUGCUACGGUGAAUACGUUCCCGGGCCU
This 1361-nucleotide ribosomal RNA is filed under the name uncultured bacterium. RNAcentral's name for it is "bacterial SSU rRNA". It matches the Rfam family "Bacterial small subunit ribosomal RNA", at positions 28 to 1381 of the family's 1533-position model. The record is from RNAcentral.